CCUACGGGAGGCAGCAGUGGGGAAUAUUGGGCAAUGGGCGCAAGCCUGACCCAGCAACGCCGCGGGAAGGAAGAAGGCUUUCGGGUUGUAAACUUCUUUUCUGGGGGACGAACAAAUGACGGUACCCCAGGCAUAAGCCACGGCUAACUACGUGCCCGCAGCCGCGGUAAUACGUAGGUGGCAAGGGUUAUCCGGAAUUAUUGGGUGGAACGGGCGGGUAGGCGGGAAUGCAAGUCAGAUUUGAAAACUCAGGGCUCAACCCUGAGCCUGCAUUUGAAACUGUGUUUCUUGAGUGCUGGAGAGGCAAUCGGAAUUCCGUGGGUAGCGGUGAAAUGCGGAGAUAUACGGAGGAACACCAGUGGCGAAGGCGGAGUGCUGGACAGUAACUGACGCUGAGGCGCGAAAGCGUGGGGAGCAAACAGGAUUAGAUACCCCAGUAGUC
Molecule: ribosomal RNA, 442 nt
Filed under: uncultured bacterium
Lineage: Bacteria
Description: partial 16S ribosomal RNA
Rfam family: Bacterial small subunit ribosomal RNA
Source: RNAcentral